RNAcentral lists this ribosomal RNA (959 nucleotides) under uncultured Actinomycetes bacterium. Its description in RNAcentral is "bacterial SSU rRNA". It matches the Rfam family "Bacterial small subunit ribosomal RNA", at positions 530 to 1482 of the family's 1533-position model. Lineage: Bacteria; Bacillati; Actinomycetota; Actinomycetes. The record is from RNAcentral.
GGUGGCGAGCGUUGUCCGGAUUUAUUGGGCGUAAAGGGCUCGUAGGUGGCUGAUUGCGUCGAAAGUGAAAGCCUUGCGGCUUAACUGUGGGUUGGCUUUUGAUACGGGUUGGCUUGAGGGAAGUAGGGGAGAAUGGAAUUCCUGGUGGAGCGGUGGAAUGCGCAGAUAUCAGGAGGAACACCGAUGGCGAAGGCAGUUCUCUGGGCUUUUCCUGACGCUGAGGAGCGAGAGCGUGGGGAGCAAACAGGCUUAGAUACCCUGGUAGUCCACGCUGUAAACGGUGGGUACUAGAUGUGGGGGCUUGUUCAAUGGUUUCUGUGUCGUAGCUAACGCUUUAAGUACCCCGCCUGGGGAGUACGGCCGCAAGGCUAAACUCAAAGGAAUUGACGGGGCCCCGCACAAGCGGCGGAGCAUGCGGAUUAAUUCGAUGCAACGCGAAGAACCUUACCUGGGUUUGACAUACACUAGAAGCGCUCAGAGAUGGGUGUGCCCUUGUGGCUGGUGUACAGGUGGUGCAUGGCUGUCGUCAGCUCGUGUCGUGAGAUGUUGGGUUAAGUCCCGCAACGAGCGCAACCCUUGUCCUAUCUUGCCAGCGGGUGAUGCCGGGGACUGAUGGGAGACUGCCGGGGUCAACUCGGAGGAAGGUGGGGAUGACGUCAAGUCAUCAUGCCCCUGAUGUCCAGGGCUUCACGCAUGCUACAAUGGCCGGUACAGUCAGUGGCGAUCUCGUGAGGGUGAGCGAAUCUGUCAAAGCCGGUCUCAGUUCGGAUUGGGGUCUGCAACUCGACCCCAUGAAGUCGGAGUCGCUAGUAAUCCCGGAUCAGCAACGCCGGGGUGAAUACGUUCCCGGGGCUUGUACACACCGCCCGUCAAGUCAUGAAAGUCGGUAACACCCCAAGCCCAUGGCCUAACCCCGGUUGGGGAGGGAGUGGUCGAAGGUGGGACUGGUGAUUAGGACU